UUUGUGUAGAUGCUGUUUGUCUUUACUAGGACAGUAGUUCAGGUGGCUGUUUGUGUAGAUGCUGUUUGUCUCUGUAGGACUGUAGUUCAGGUGGCUGUUUGUGUAGAUGCUGUUUGUCUCUUUAGGACUGUAGUUCAGGUGGCUGUUUGUCUUUGUAGGACUGUAGUUCAGGUGGCUGUUUGUCUUUGUAGGACAGUAGUUCAGGUGGCUGUUUGUGUAGAUGCUGUUUGUCUUUGUAGGACAGUAGUUCAGGUGGCUGUUUGUGUAGAUGCUGUUUGUCUUUGUAGGACAGUAGUUCAGGUGGCUGUUUGUCUUUGUAGGACAGUAGUUCAGGUGGUUGUUUGUCUUUGUAGGACAGUAGUUCAGGUGGUUGUUUGUGGAGAUGCUGUUUGUCUCUGUAGGACAGUAGUUCAGGUGGCUGUUUGUGUAGAUGCUGUUUGUCUCUGUAGGACAGUAGUUCAGGUGGCUGUUUGUGUAGAUGCUGUUUGUCUUUGUAGGACAGUAGUUCAGGUGGCUGUUUGUCUUUGUAGGACAGUAGUUCAGGUGGCUGUUUGUCUUUGUAGGACAGUAGUUCAGGUGGCUGUUUGUCUUUGUAGGACAGUAGUUCAGGUGGCUGUUUGUCUUUGUAGGACAGUAGUUCAGGUGGCUGUUUGUCUUUGUAGGACAGUAGUUCAGGUGGCUGUGUGUCUUCGUAGGACAGUAGUUCAG
Molecule: long non-coding RNA, 708 nt
Organism: Oncorhynchus tshawytscha (Chinook salmon)
Lineage: Eukaryota; Metazoa; Chordata; Actinopteri; Salmoniformes; Salmonidae
Source: Ensembl